RNAcentral lists this unclassified non-coding RNA (345 nucleotides) under Zea mays. RNAcentral describes it as "misc RNA Zm00001eb154810". Lineage: Eukaryota; Viridiplantae; Streptophyta; Magnoliopsida; Poales; Poaceae. The record is from RNAcentral.
GGAGCAUGGAUCAGAUCAGACGGUCGGUGGUGCCAAUUGACAGAGUCAGAGCCGACGGCCGGGCAGAAAGAAGCGGCGCGCGGCAACUAUCUGAUGCUGUGCCACUGCCCCUGCUACUUGUAGCUGUAGGCCAGAGUCUUGUGCAGUGCAGACAGCAGAGCACUAGUAGGCCACCAGACUUCUCGCGGCCGGAGGUGGAGAAGAGCGGCGGCCAUCAUCCUCGAGACCACCUGGACAUCGUUGUUGGUCUCCUUUGCCGUCUUGCGAAUGCCACUCGAUUACAGAGACAUGCUCCUCCUCCUCCUGUCUCCUGAUGCAGCCUUCUCACGACAUGCAUGGGAGACA